This 253-nucleotide ribosomal RNA is filed under the name uncultured bacterium. Its description in RNAcentral is "partial 16S ribosomal RNA". It matches the Rfam family "Bacterial small subunit ribosomal RNA", at positions 524 to 776 of the family's 1533-position model. The record is from RNAcentral.
UACAGAGGUCUCAAGCGUUGUUCGGAUUUAUUGGGCGUAAAGAGCUCGUAGGCGGUCUGUCGCGUCUGCUGUGAAAUCCCGAGGCUCAACCUCGGGCUUGCAGUGGGUACGGGCAGGCUAGAGUGCGGUAGGGGAGAAUGGAACUCCUGGUGUAGCGGUGGAAUGCGCAGAUAUCAGGAAGAACACCGAUGGCGAAGGCAGUUCUCUGGGCCGUAACUGACGCUGAGGAGCGAAAGCGUGGGGAGCGAACAGG